Molecule: long non-coding RNA, 824 nt
Organism: Ruditapes philippinarum (Manila clam)
Lineage: Eukaryota; Metazoa; Mollusca; Bivalvia; Venerida; Veneridae
Exons: 2
Source: RefSeq, a predicted model, not a curated record
UUUUACUUUAAAUGACAUCUCCUCAUAAACCACUAAGCCAAUUUCAUCCAAUCUUCACAGGAAUGUUCCUUUGGUGGUCACCUUUAAAAAUUGUUCAAAAAAUUUAAUUCCAUGCAGAACUCUGGUUGCUAUGGCAACCGAAAGAAAAAACUUUAAAUAUCUCCUUUAAAAAAACCAUAAGAGCUAGAGCUUAGAUAUUUGGCAUGAAACAUCUUCUAGUGAGUGUCUACCAAGUUUGUUCAAAUAAAAGCCCUGGGGUCAAAAUUGGCCCCGCCACGGGGGUCAUUGAUUUUCCCUAUAUGCAUAUAGUAAAAACUUAAAAAAAUCUUCUUUUAAAGAACCCAAAGAGCUAGAGCUAAGAUAUUUAGCAUGAAACAUGUUCUAAUGGGUGUCUACCAAGUUUGUUCAAAUAAAAGCCCUUGGGUCAAAAUUGGCCCCGCCCCGGGGGGUCAUUGAUUUUCCCUAUAUGCAUAUAGUAAAAACUUAAAAAAUCUUCUUUUAAAGAACUCAAAGAGCUAUGGCUAAGAUAUUGAGCAUGAAACAUGUUCUAAUAGGUGUCUACCAAUUUGUUCAAAUAAAAGCCCUGGGGUCAAAAUUGGCACCGCCCCGGGGGUCAUUGAUUUUCCUUAUAUGUGUAUAGCAAAAACUUAAAAAAUCUUCUUUGAAAAAACCCAAAUAGCUAGAGUUAAGAUAUUAAGCAUGAAACAUCUUUUAGUGAGUGUCUACAAAGUUUGUUCAAAUAAAAGACCUGGGGUCAAAAUUGGCCCCGCCCCGGGGGUCAUUGAUUUUCUCUAUAUGUGUAUAGCAAAAACUUAAAAUCUUCU